ACGCUCGACACCUACGGGGGCAGCAGUGGGGGAUAUUGCACAAUGGGGGAAACCCUGAUGCAGCAACGCCGCGUGAAGGAAGAAGGUCUUCGGAUUGUAAACUUCUGUCCUCAGGGAAGAUAAUGACGGUACCUGAGGAGGAAGCUCCGGCUAACUACGUACCAGCAGCCGCGGUAAUCUGAGCGGGCUGGCAAGGC
This 197-nucleotide ribosomal RNA is filed under the name uncultured bacterium. RNAcentral describes it as "partial 16S ribosomal RNA". It matches the Rfam family "Bacterial small subunit ribosomal RNA", at positions 328 to 539 of the family's 1533-position model. The record is from RNAcentral.